This 497-nucleotide ribosomal RNA is filed under the name uncultured bacterium. RNAcentral describes it as "partial 16S ribosomal RNA". It matches the Rfam family "Bacterial small subunit ribosomal RNA", at positions 28 to 507 of the family's 1533-position model. The record is from RNAcentral.
GAUGAACGCUGGCGGCGUGCCUAAUACAUGCGAGUCGAGCGAACAGACGCGGAGCUUGCUCCUUUGACGUUAGCGGCGGACGGGUGAGUAACACGUGGAUAACCUACCUAUAAGACUGGGAUAACUUCGGGAAACCGGAGCUAAUACCGGAUAAUAUAUUGAACCGCAUGGUUCAAUAGUGAAAGACGGUUUUGCUGUAACUUCUAGAUGGAUCCGCGCCGCAUUAGCUAGUUGGUAAGGUAACGGCUUACCAAGGGAACGAUGCGUAGCCGACCUGAGAGGGUGAUCGGCCACACUGGAACUGAGACAGCGUCCAGACGCCUACGGGAGGCAGCAGUAGGGAAUCUUCCGCAAUGGGCGAAAGUCUGACGGAGCAACGCCGCGUGAGUGAUGAAGGUCUUCGGAUCGUAAAACUCUGUUAUUAGUGAAGAACAAAUGUGUAAGUAACUAUGCACGUCUUGACGGUACCUAAUCAGAAAGCCACGGCUAACUACGUG